GUGGUUAGCUCAAACGGGUAGAGCACCAGACUCAUAAUCUGGCUGUUACGGGUUCGACUCCUGUACCACACC
This 72-nucleotide transfer RNA is filed under the name Planctomycetota bacterium. RNAcentral describes it as "Planctomycetes bacterium (groundwater metagenome) tRNA-Ile". It matches the Rfam family "tRNA". Rfam says of the family: Transfer RNA (tRNA) molecules are approximately 80 nucleotides in length. Their secondary structure includes four short double-helical elements and three loops (D, anti-codon, and T loops). The record is from RNAcentral. Lineage: Bacteria; Pseudomonadati; Planctomycetota.